This 1316-nucleotide ribosomal RNA is filed under the name Chiroteuthis calyx. RNAcentral describes it as "bacterial LSU rRNA". It matches the Rfam family "Bacterial large subunit ribosomal RNA", at positions 925 to 2266 of the family's 2925-position model. The record is from RNAcentral. Lineage: Eukaryota; Metazoa; Mollusca; Cephalopoda; Oegopsida; Chiroteuthidae.
GGCAUAGCGCUUACCGAACCUUAUCAAACUCCGAAUGCCACAUACUUUGAGCUCGGCAGUCAGACUACGAAUGAUAAGAUCCGUGGUCAAAAGGGAAACAGCCCAGACCACCAGCUAAGGUCCCAAAUGCCGUACUAAGUGGAUAAGGAUGUGGGGUCUCAUAAACAACCAGGAUGUUGGCUUAGAAGCAGCCACCAUUUAAAGAGUGCGUAAUAGCUCACUGGUCGAGAGGUCCUGCGCCGAAAAUGUCCGGGGCUAAAACGCGCCACCGAAACUAAGGAAUGUAGUGAUACAUUGGUAGAGGAGCAUUGCAUGCGGGACGAAGCAGUACCGUAAGGAGCUGUGGACUGCAUGGAAGAGAGAAUGCCGGAAUGAGUAGCGAGAUAGAGGUGAGAAUCCUCUAGGCCGAAUAUCCAAGGUUUCCAGGGUAAAGCUGAUCUGCCCUGGGUAAGUCGGGGCCUAAGGCGAGGACGAGAGUCGUAGCCGAUGGACAACAGGUGGAGAUUCCUGUACUGCGAUAUAACAGAACUGUGGGGACACGUGCAGAAAGUGGAAGCCGGGAACGGAAAGCCCGGUGCAAGUGAGGUACCAGUCACAUAGGCAAAUCCGUGUGGCAAUGGGAAGACACGAUGCGGACCGAAAUAAAGUAGGGAAGUCCAUGAGCUGUGCGUCAAGAAAAGCCGCUAUUGUUUAUAUCGUACCCGUACCGUAAACCGACACAGGUGGAUGAGGAGAGAAUCCUAAGGCCGGCGGAAGAAGCAUUGUCAAGGAACUCGGCAAAAUGACCCCGUAACUUCGGGAGAAGGGGUGCUGCACAAUGUGCAGCCGCAGUGAAUAGGCCCAGGCGACUGUUUAUCAAAAACACAGGUUUCUGCAAAAUCGUAAGAUGAAGUAUAGGGGCUGACGCCUGCCCGGUGCUGGAAGGUUAAGAGGAUGGGUUAGCGUAAGCGAAGCUCAGAAUUGAAGCCCCAGUAAACGGCGGCCGUAACAAUAACGGUCCUAAGGUAGCGAAAUUCCUUGUCAGGUAAGUUCUGACCCGCACGAAUGGCGUAAUGACUUGGGCACUGUCUCAACUGUAAAUCCGGCGAAGUUGUAGUGCGAGUGAAGAUGCUCGCUACCCGCGAUUGGACGGAAAGACCCCGUAGAGCUUUACUGUAGCUUAGCAUUGAGUUUUGGUAUUGUCUGUACAGGAUAGGUGGGAGACUAGGAAACCAGGGCGUCAGCCUUGGUGGAGUCAACCUUGGGAUACCACCCUGACAGUACUGAAAUUCUAACUGGCGGCCAUGAAUCUGGUCACAGGACAUUGUUAGGUGGGC